UCUCUCGUCACAUGCAGCUAGCUAAUUAGCUAUUCCCUUCUUCUAAAAUGAAAAAAAACUUCACCAGCUCCUCUUUCUCUCUUCAAAAAACCUCUUGUUUCACUCUCUCUUAUCAUCUCUCCAAUAUCGCUUCUGUUUUUUGAUCUUGAAAUGAUGGUUCUUCUUUUUUUCUCUUUGUGGGCCUCAAAGGAGCGAGAAAACAUGUAGCUAGAGUUUUACGUAUGGAAAAUAUAUGUGAAAUAGCGAUUGUGAUAUUGGCCUGGUUCACUCAGACGUGGAAAACCUACCUUUUUCUUGGCUUUUGCUUGGGUGGUGUUGUUUUGGUUUGAUUGAGCCGUGCCAAUAUCUCAGUGCUCUUUCAUUCUCUGAUAAGACCUUAUUAUCAGACUGCAACUAUAUAUCCAACAUCACGGACUUGCAGUUGUUAUGAUAUUAGUAAUGAAAUGAACAAGGAGCAUAUCCCAAGAAACAGCAGGAGAUCUAUCAUCAUCUGGUAGGAGCUGAUGAGCAAAUCUCCAGGGGCUUUGUUAACUCAAAAUAAAGGCAUGCAUGAUCUAAAAUGUUUUAGAAGA
Hevea brasiliensis (rubber tree) is the source of this 572-nucleotide long non-coding RNA. RefSeq lists it as uncharacterized. NCBI's taxonomy places the organism in Eukaryota, Viridiplantae, Streptophyta, Magnoliopsida, Malpighiales, Euphorbiaceae. The transcript is spliced from 2 exons. The record is from RefSeq and is a predicted model, not a curated record.